Molecule: ribosomal RNA, 655 nt
Filed under: uncultured archaeon
Lineage: Archaea
Description: bacterial SSU rRNA
Rfam family: Archaeal small subunit ribosomal RNA
Source: RNAcentral
ACGGGGUGCAGCAGGCGCGAAACCUCCGCAAUACACGAAAGUGUGACGGGGUUACCCAAAGUGUUCUAUUUAGAACUGUGGUAGGUGAGUAAUGUUCCCUACUAGAAAGGAGAGGGCAAGGCUGGUGCCAGCCGCCGCGGUAAAACCAGCUCUUCAAGUGGUCGGGAUAAUUAUUGGGCUUAAAGUGUCCGUAGCCGGUUUAGUAAGUUCCUGGUAAAAUCGGGUAGCUUAACUAUCUAUAUGCUAGGAAUACUGCUAUACUAGAGGGCGGGAGAGGUCUGAGGUACUACAGGGGUAGGGGUGAAAUCUUAUAAUCCUUGUAGGACCACCAGUGGCGAAGGCGUCAGACUGGAACGCGCCUGACGGUGAGGGACGAAAGCCAGGGGAGCGAACCGGAUUAGAUACCCGGGUAGUCCUGGCCGUAAACGAUGCAUACUAGGUGAUGGCACGGCCAUGAGCCGUGUCAGUGCCGUAGGGAAACCGUUAAGUGUGCCGCCUGGGAAGUACGGUCGCAAGGCUAAAACUUAAAGGAAUUGGCGGGGGAGCACCACAAGGGGUGAAGCCUGCGGUUCAAUUGGACUCAACGCCGGAAAACUUACCAGGGGAGACAGCAGUAUGACGGUCAGGUUGACGACCUUACCUAACGAGCUGAGAG